UGGACGGGCCCGCCCCCCCGCGCCGAUUGGCCCGGCCGCCUGUUCUGCGGUCGGACUCGGGCCAGCAGCUUCGCAGGAUUGGUCAGAGCCGAGGCCCCGCCUCUGAGAGGCACUGUCGAUCACUCCGGGCCCGCCCUCACCCGCCCCCCUGGCGACCGGCGCUAGUGGAUUGGUCGGUGGGAAUCGGAAUGGUGGAAAAUCUGGGAUGGAUUCUUGGGCGCUUUUGUUCCCUCAGAUUAGCCCGGAGCCUUGUUUUUGGGAAAAGACGGGCGUUGGGCCUUGGUACUUUAUUCACGAACGUGAUGGCAAGGAGGUGGCGAUGGGCCUUAGAAGAACUACUGGCGCCGGGUUUCCCUCUGAUCUGCCCGAGCCACGCUGUGUGACCUUGGGCGAGUCGCUAUUUCUCUCUAAGCCCUAGGCGCCUCCGGGGGAAGAUGCGGGUAAUAAUACACUCCCGGGGGGCUGCUGAGAAGGUGGUGAGCUCACAGUGGGCAAGCACCUGCGUUUUUGAGGCGGCAGGCCCGCUUAGGGCGAAGGUGAUGGGGAGAGCAAGCCUUCUCCCCAACAUCUGUCAGCCAGGUCUGUCAGCCGGCCAGUCAGCCCGCCCUGUCAACGGGAAACCUCGGGCCCUGGAACCGAGAAAAAUGCAAACCCACGGGCAGGGGCAGGGCUCAAGGACUGCCUCAACCCUGGCUUUUGAUUGGCACCGAGAAGCAGUUGGGGGAAGGGGAGGUGAGCAUCCAGCCCCUUCCAGUGCUUAGGAUGCAGGGCCCACCUUGUGCAGACAGAGAAACUGAGACCCGGGACGAGAUGCCCCACUCCCAUUCCUGGAUGGCGUUCUCUGAUGUCCUGGAGGUAUAGGCCGACUGUCCCUUCCUGGGCAUAGGAUAUCGGGACCUGGGUCAAGCUGAGCCCCGCUGUAGAGCCUGCAGUCAAGUCUGUGAAGCCGGUAAAUAGAGCCUUCCUGUCUGGUCCAAGGUGCUGAAAACUCUAGGCAGAACAUUCCUGGCCUGGCGUCUCCCACCUUGAGCGGAUAUUGCCCGCCAAGAGCCGGUAAACUGUUCCCGUGCCCUACCCACCCCCUUGGGCGCAUUUUUUCUGGCUAGCCCCAUGUGCUGGGAGGCUUAGGGGUAAGUGGGACUCCUGGGGAGCCCACUAGGCCCCCACCUGGUUUCCCAGGGCAGACUACCGAGUCACAGUUCUGUGUAGUUGCUGAGAAGACAUCCAUCCCUAAGUGUAAGAGCCACGAAGCAAAAAAAAAGCCUAACCUGGAAAACGGCACACCCCCUACUUGCUACAGGAAUGCCCCAGCACCCACGGACACUUGGGUGCUUUGCCCCAGCUCUGGUGGCUAGCUGUGAGACCUGGGCUACCUACUUAAUUAACCCUUCUGAGCCCGUUUCCUCAUCUGUAAAGGCAGCCUAGAGCCCAGCCUGGCGGGUGGCACUGGAGGUCAUGGGUGGUGCCCAAAGCCCUUUCAGGCUGGAAAGCUGGGGCUCGACCCAUAGAAGGCCCUGGAUGGAGCUCCUCUAGAUCAACCUGCCUUCUUGCUGUGGGGUAUGUUAUUUAAAGCCAUGCUGGAUUGAAUAACAGCCCCUGAAAGUUCAUGUCCACCUAGAGCCUCUAAAUGUGGCCUUAUUUAGAAAUAGGGUCUCCGCAGAUAUAAUGAAGGUCAGACUCAAGUCACACUGUGCCAGAUUAAGGAUAGGUCCCCAGUUCAAUGAGAAUGCCCUAGCAGAAGCUGUGUGUCUUCCGGGGCACAGGUGGCAAGGACAGAAAGUGCGUGUAAAGAUAGACUCUACAGUUAAGGGAUGGCAAGAGGCUGGCCAGAUCCUCCCCUGUGCCUUCUGUGGGGACGGCGGCCACCACACUUUGACUCUAGAUCAAGGCCUCCAGGGAGGAGGAUGUGGCUUAUGAUUGAGGUUGGGGCAACCACAGGAAACCAGGGGAAGAUUACUCCCUCCUUUGCUUCAGCUCUAGGACCAGACCUCAUUCUGAGAUUGGGGCUGUAGAAAUGAGUAAGACCCAAGCCCUCACACCCAAGCUUUACGGGUCUCUGCUCCCUUGCCUCCCUUCUCAAGCUUCCCAGCCCCGGCGCAGUCCCGGGCACACUCUGUCCUGGGAGAAGAUAGUCAGUGGCCAUGCCUCUGUUGCUGUCCCUACUUCAGCACACUCCAGGCCUCGUGUUGGGAAGCUCCGGGUGUCUGUGGCAGGCCCCAGUGCUCGGGGCUCCUUCCUUGGCACAGCCUCGCCUGUGGGCUCCUGAGCCUUCCACUUCAUGUUUGGAGUCCACUCUGUGCAGACUAUGGACUUUGGUCGUCCCCCUCCUUAAUGGAUCCCCAGAUCCAGCCUGACUUUACCCCAAUUAACUCCAUCAACAGAGAACCUAUUUCCAAGCAAAACAACAUGCUGUGGUUAUGGAUGCCUGCGGGUUUUUGGAGGACACUGUGCAGCCCUGAGUGCCCCCUCUUUUGCGGUGGACCUGGCUCUGUUUGGUAAAACAACGACGACGAAGCAUUCCGGUUAAGCAUGUAACUUGUCAAGGCAUAAAGAUUGCCUAAGAAAGACUUUCAGUCCGGGAUAUCAGCAUCACCCUUUUGAAGGGAAAAAGGAAAUAAACAGGGAAAACAAGCAGCUGAAGGUCACGUGUGAAGUUGUCUCACAAGGCAACCGAGGAGACGUCUCCUGAGCUUCAGAGCCAGGUGUGACAGUGUUCACCUGUCUCAGCACCCAGAGAGUGGAGACGGGGGUUGUGGGUUCCACCCCAGCCUGGGCAAAUAGGGA
This is a non-coding RNA of Peromyscus maniculatus bairdii (prairie deer mouse), 2784 nucleotides long. The record is from RefSeq and is a predicted model, not a curated record. Lineage: Eukaryota; Metazoa; Chordata; Mammalia; Rodentia; Cricetidae.